This 446-nucleotide ribosomal RNA is filed under the name uncultured bacterium. RNAcentral's name for it is "bacterial SSU rRNA". It matches the Rfam family "Bacterial small subunit ribosomal RNA", at positions 329 to 792 of the family's 1533-position model. The record is from RNAcentral.
GCCCAGACUCCUACGGGAGGCAGCAGUGGGGGAUAUUGCACAAUGGGGGAAACCCUGAUGCAGCGACGCCGCGUGGGUGAAGAAGCGCCUCGACGCGUAAAGCCCUGUCAGCAGGGAAGAAAAUGACGGUACCUGAAGAAGAAGCCCCGGCUAACUGCGUGCCAGCAGCCGCGGUAAUACGUAGGGGGCAAGCGUUAUCCGGAUUUACUGGGUGUAAAGGGGGCGCAGACGGCGAUGCAAGCCAGGAGUGAAAGCCCGGAGCCCAACCCCGGGACUGCUCUUGGAACUGCGUGGCUGGAGUGCAGGAGGGGCAGGCGGAAUUCCUGGUGUAGCGGUGAAAUGCGUAGAUAUCAGGAGGAACACCGGUGGCGAAGGCGGCCUGCUGGACUGCAACUGACGUUGAGGCCCGAAAGCGUGGGGAGCAAACAGGAUUAGAUACCCGAGUA